Molecule: ribosomal RNA, 1497 nt
Filed under: uncultured bacterium
Lineage: Bacteria
Description: bacterial SSU rRNA
Rfam family: Bacterial small subunit ribosomal RNA
Source: RNAcentral
UAGAGUUUGAUCAUGGCUCAGGAUGAACGCUGGCGGCGUGCUUAACACAUGCAAGUCGAACGGACUCAUAUUGAAACCUAGUGAUUUAUGAGUUAGUGGCGGACGGGUGAGUAACGCGUGGAUAACCUGCCGUAUACCGGGGGAUAACACUUAGAAAUAGGUGCUAAUACCGUAUAAGCGCACGGCUCCGCAUGGGGCAGUGUGAAAAACUCCGGUGGUAUACGAUGGAUCCGCGUCUGAUUAGCUAGUUGGCGGGGUAACGGCUCACCAAGGCAGCGAUCAGUAGCCGGCCUGAGAGGGUGGACGGCCACAUUGGGACUGAGACACGGCCCAAACUCCUACGGGAGGCAGCAGUGAGGAAUAUUGGUCAAUGGGCGCGAGCCUGAACCAGCCAAGUCGCGUGAGGGAAGACGGUCCUAUGGAUUGUAAACCUCUUUUGUCGGGGAGCAAAAGACGCCACGUGUGGCGUUCCGAGAGUACCCGAAGAAAAAGCAUCGGCUAACUCCGUGCCAGCAGCCGCGGUAAUACGGAGGAUGCGAGCGUUAUCCGGAUUUAUUGGGUUUAAAGGGUGCGCAGGCGGAAGAUCAAGUCAGCGGUAAAAUUGAGAGGCUCAACCUCUUCGAGCCGUUGAAACUGGUUUUCUUGAGUGAGCGAGAAGUAUGCGGAAUGCGUGGUGUAGCGGUGAAAUGCAUAGAUAUCACGCAGAACUCCGAUUGCGAAGGCAGCAUACCGGCGCUCAACUGACGCUCAUGCACGAAAGUGUGGGUAUCGAACAGGAUUAGAUACCCUGGUAGUCCACACAGUAAACGAUGAAUACUAAUUGUUCGGGGAGAAUGAUCCCUGAGUGAUACAGCGAAAGCGUUAAGUAUUCCACCUGGGGAGUACGCCGGCAACGGUGAAACUCAAAGGAAUUGACGGGGGCCCGCACAAGCGGAGGAACAUGUGGUUUAAUUCGAUGAUACGCGAGGAACCUUACCCGGGCUCAAGCGACACAGGAAUACUUUUGAAAGGAGGUAGCUCUACGGAGUCUGUGUCGAGGUGCUGCAUGGUUGUCGUCAGCUCGUGCCGUGAGGUGUCGGCUUAAGUGCCAUAACGAGCGCAACCCCCAUCGCCAGUUACCAGCAAGUCAAGUUGGGGACUCUGGCGAGACUGCCGGCGCAAGCUGUGAGGAAGGCGGGGAUGACGUCAAAUCAGCACGGCCCUUACGUCCGGGGCGACACACGUGUUACAAUGGCAGGUACAGAGAGAAGCAAUGCGGCGACGCAAAGCGGAACUUGAAAGCCUGUCUCAGUUCGGAUUGGAGUCUGCAACUCGACUCCAUGAAGCUGGAUUCGCUAGUAAUCGCGCAUCAGCCAUGGCGCGGUGAAUACGUUCCCGGGCCUUGUACACACCGCCCGUCAAGCCAUGGAAGCCGGGAGUGCCUGAAGUGAGCAACCGCAAGGAGCGCCCUAAGGUAAAACUGGUGACUGGGGCUAAGUCGUAACAAGGUAACCGUAA